RNAcentral lists this ribosomal RNA (253 nucleotides) under uncultured bacterium. Its description in RNAcentral is "partial 16S ribosomal RNA". It matches the Rfam family "Bacterial small subunit ribosomal RNA", at positions 524 to 776 of the family's 1533-position model. The record is from RNAcentral.
UACGUAGGGUGCGAGCGUUAAUCGGAAUUACUGGGCGUAAAGCGUGCGCAGGCGGUUUGUAAGACAGGCGUGAAAUCCCCGGGCUCAACCUGGGAAUGGCGCUUGUGACUGCAAAGCUGGAGUGCGGCAGAGGGGGAUGGAAUUCCGCGUGUAGCAGUGAAAUGCGUAGAUAUGCGGAGGAACACCGAUGGCGAAGGCAAUCCCCCUGGGCCUGCACUGACGCUCAUGCACGAAAGCGUGGGGAGCAAACAGG